GAUGAACGCUGGCGGCGUGCCUAAUACAUGCAAGUCGAGCGAACAGACGAGGAGCUUGCUCCUUUGACGUUAGCGGCGGACGGGUGAGUAACACGUGGGUAACCUACCUAUAAGACUGGGAUAACUUCGGGAAACCGGAGCUAAUACCGGAUAAUAUUUCGAACCGCAUGGUUCGAUAGUGAAAGAUGGCUCUGCUAUCACUUAUAGAUGGACCUGCGCCGUAUUAGCUAGUUGGUAAGGUAACGGCUUACCAAGGCAACGAUACGUAGCCGACCUGAGAGGGUGAUCGGCCACACUGGAACUGAGACACGGUCCAGACUACUACGGGAGGCAGCAGUCGGGAAUCUUCCGCAAUGGGCGAAAGCCUGACGGAGCAACGCCGCGUGAGUGAUGAAGGUCUUCGGAUCGUAAAACUCUGUUAUUAGGGAAGAACAAACGUGUAAGUAACUGUGCACGUCUUGACGGUACCUAAUCAGAAAGCCACGGCUAACUACGUG
Molecule: ribosomal RNA, 497 nt
Filed under: uncultured bacterium
Lineage: Bacteria
Description: partial 16S ribosomal RNA
Rfam family: Bacterial small subunit ribosomal RNA
Source: RNAcentral